UUCAUCGCCAAGUCAACUGGCAUCAACGCUGACGGUAACCUCAUGAAGCGCAACGGCCAGAUUCUCCCCAUGCCUCUUGGGACCCUCACCUCUCCGUCGACUACGAAGGAUCUUGGAUCGCUCCCUAUGUCAUCCUCGACACGGAUUACGAGAACUUCUCGUGCAUCUACUCCUGCACCGAAUACAACUUCGGAUACUACUCCGACUUCUCCUUCAUCUUCUCCCGCUCGCCAAGCCUUUCUGACCAAUACCUGAGACGCUGCGAGGCCGCCUUUAGGGAGAUCGGCGUCGACGUCUCUCGUUUCGCGAAGACAGUCCAGGGUUCUGACUGCCCUUAUGACACCCAGAAAUCUUUGUAGAUACGCUUUAAUUUUAAAUAUAUAUUAAUAAAUACAAAUACACAUACACGCAUAAAUAUGUAUGCAAGUACAAUGAAUAUAACUUUGACACGAUUUAUCUUUUUAUAUAUAUAUUAAAAAAAAUCACUUA
Molecule: non-coding RNA, 489 nt
Organism: Penaeus vannamei (Pacific white shrimp)
Lineage: Eukaryota; Metazoa; Arthropoda; Malacostraca; Decapoda; Penaeidae
Source: RefSeq, a predicted model, not a curated record